UACGGGGGAUGCAAGCGUUAUCCGGAUUUAUUGGGUUUAAAGGGUGCGUAGGCGGCUUGGUAAGUCAGCGGUGAAAUUUCGGAGCUCAACUUCGAACGUGCCGUUGAUACUGGGAUGCUAGAAUGCGGAUGCCGUGGGAGGAAUGUGUGGUGUAGCGGUGAAAUGCAUAGAUAUCACACAGAACACCGAUUGCGAAGGCAUCUCACGAAUCCGCAAUUGACGCUGAGGCACGAAAGCGUGGGGAUCAAACAGG
This 253-nucleotide ribosomal RNA is filed under the name uncultured Bacteroidales bacterium. Its description in RNAcentral is "partial 16S ribosomal RNA". It matches the Rfam family "Bacterial small subunit ribosomal RNA", at positions 524 to 776 of the family's 1533-position model. The record is from RNAcentral. Lineage: Bacteria; Pseudomonadati; Bacteroidota; Bacteroidia; Bacteroidales.